Long non-coding RNA from Fukomys damarensis (Damara mole-rat), 311 nucleotides. RefSeq lists it as uncharacterized. The transcript has 2 exons. NCBI's taxonomy places the organism in Eukaryota, Metazoa, Chordata, Mammalia, Rodentia, Bathyergidae. The record is from RefSeq and is a predicted model, not a curated record.
AGGGCGACAGCAUUCUGUGCCGCUGAGCCGCGCGGUCCAGGUGUGCGGCCGCCUGAGCCCGAGCCAGGAGCUCUAGAGGGAGGGGGAAGAAAGAGCAGACGGUAGAGGAAAAGCCACCGGAGGAAAGGAAAAAAAUUAAAUCAGCAAAUCUAGAAACCUUUUCGCUCGUCAUUCCAAGAGAAAGGGAGAGGGGAAAAAAAUAAAAUUUUCAUCUUUUUGUUUUUGCACGUUCAUAAACAUUCUACAUACGUAUUCUCUUUUGUCUCUUCAUUUAUAACCGCUGUGAAUUGUACAUUUGUGUUUUUUGGAGG